Ipomoea nil (Japanese morning glory) is the source of this 313-nucleotide long non-coding RNA. RefSeq lists it as uncharacterized. The transcript is spliced from 4 exons. Lineage: Eukaryota; Viridiplantae; Streptophyta; Magnoliopsida; Solanales; Convolvulaceae. The record is from RefSeq and is a predicted model, not a curated record.
AAGAUUUGACUGCUGAAAACAGGAGGAUUUCUGUAAUGAAAUGUCCAUCCUAAGUUAUGUUGUUUCUCGGUGCUUCCACAAAGCCUCCACAUCUGAGUACAUGGAGAUGGGAUCACUUUACCAUCUAAUUCAUUUAAGUGGUCAAAAGAAGCUGCUUAGCUGGCGGGAGAGAUUUAAGAUGUUAUAUGACAUAUGCAGAGGGUUGAUGUGCAUUCAUCGCAUGAAGAUAGUUCAUCGAAUCUAAAAAGUGCAAAUUGUCAUAUCAAUGAGUUUGACCGUUGUUACUUCACUUCUUGAGAAGUAUGAGGUUGAU